UCCGUGGUGGUCCAGUGGCUAAGACUCUUUGCUCCCAAUGCAAGGGGCCCGGGUUCAAUCCCUGGCUAGGGAA
RNAcentral lists this transfer RNA (73 nucleotides) under Bos taurus (domestic cattle). It matches the Rfam family "tRNA". Rfam says of the family: Transfer RNA (tRNA) molecules are approximately 80 nucleotides in length. Their secondary structure includes four short double-helical elements and three loops (D, anti-codon, and T loops). RNAcentral also lists the same sequence under 1 other name. The record is from Rfam by way of RNAcentral. Lineage: Eukaryota; Metazoa; Chordata; Mammalia; Artiodactyla; Bovidae.